CCGGUUGAUCCUGCCGGACCCGACUGCUAUUUGGGUGAGGAUAAGCCAUGCGAGUCGAAUGGGAUGCCCAAAAUUCCCAUGGCAAACUGCUCAGUAACACAUGAUCAACUUACCCUAUAGAGAAAAAUAACCUCGGGAAACUGAGGAUAAUGUUUCAUAAUUGAAUCGGCUUGGAAAAGUUUUUCAAUUAAAAGAACAAGAAAAAUGGUUCUUGUUCGCUAUAGGAUAGGAUCGUGGACGAUUAUGGUUGUUGGUGAGGUAACGGCUCACCAAGCCGAUAAUCGAUAGGGGCCGUGAGAGCGGGAGCCCCGAGAUGGGUACUGAGACAACGACCCAGGCCUUACGAGGCGCAGCAGGCGCGGAACCUCCGCAAUACACGAAAGUGUGACGGGGUUACCCAAAGUGUUCAUUAUUGAACUGUGGUAGGUGAGUAAUGUUCCCUACUAGAAAGGAGAGGGCAAGGCUGGUGCCAGCCGCCGCGGUAAAACCAGCUCUUCAAGUGGUCGGGAUAAUUAUUGGGCUUAAAGUGUCCGUAGCUGGUUUAGUAAGUUCCUGGUAAAAUCGGGUAGCUUAACUAUCCGUAUGCUAGGAAUACUGCUAUACUAGAGGGCGGGAGAGGUCUGAGGUACUACAGGGGUAGGGGUGAAAUCUUAUAAUCCUUGUAGGACCACCAGUGGCGAAGGCGUCAGACUGGAACGCGCCUGACGGUGAGGGACGAAAGCCAGGGGAGCGAACCGGAUUAGAUACCCGGGUAGUCCUGGCCGUAAACGAUGCAUACUAGGUGAUGGUACGGCCAUGAGCCGUAUCAGUGCCGUAGGGAAACCGUUAAGUGUGCCGCCUGGGAAGUACGGUCGCAAGGCUAAAACUUAAAGGAAUUGGCGGGGGAGCACCACAAGGGGUGAAGCCUGCGGUUCAAUUGGACCCAACGCCGGGAAACUUACCAGGGGAGACAGUAGAAUGAUGGUCAGGUUGACGACCUUACCUAACGAGCUGAGAGGAGGUGCAUGGCCGUCGCCAGUUCGUGCUGUGAGGUAUCCUGUUAAGUCAGGCAACGAACGAGAUCCGCGCCUUUAUUUGCCAGCAAGAAGUCACGACUUCGUUGGGAACACUAAAGGGACCGCCAUCGAUAAGAUGGAGGAAGGAGCGGGCAAAGGCAGGUCAGUAUGCCCCGAAACCCCUGGGCUACACGCGGGCUGCAAUGGUAUGAACAAUGGGCUGUAACUCCGAAAGGAGAAACCAAUCCCGAAAUCAUAUCUCAGUUGGGAUUGUCGGCUGUAACCCGCCGACAUGAACGUGGAAUCCCUAGUAAUCGUGUGUCAUCAUCGCACGGUGAAUACGUCUCUGCUCCUUGCACACACCGCCCGUCGCUCCACCCGAGUGUGCUAAAAAUGAGGUGUGGUCAUUAUGGUCAUAUCGAGUUUCUAGUAUGCGAGGAGGGAGAAGUCGUAACAAGGUAGCCGUAGGGAACCUGCGGCUGGAUCACCUCC
Molecule: ribosomal RNA, 1487 nt
Filed under: Promethearchaeota archaeon
Lineage: Archaea; Promethearchaeati; Promethearchaeota
Description: bacterial SSU rRNA
Rfam family: Archaeal small subunit ribosomal RNA
Source: RNAcentral